AAAAAGUUUUAUUUUGGUUUAAAUAAUAAGUAUAUGAUUUAAUUACAUGUAAAUUUUAGUAUUGAGGGCUAUAAUUUUAGAAAAAUUAUAGAUGUGGGUAUAUUAGUCGCAGUAUUUGUCUUUGAUUAUUAAGGGAACUUAGAAUCAGAAAUUUAUAAUAAUAUUAACAUAAUUUGUGCCAGCAGUUGCGGUUAUACAAAUAAUAUAAUUUAUUAUUAUUAAUUUAUAAUUAAUUUAUUUAAUUUUAUAUAAGGAUUAAUUUAUUAAGUGAAAUUUUAAAUUAAUUUUUUAUUUUAAUUAAAGUUUUUGAAGUUAUUAAAUUUUACGAAAAACUAGGAUUAGAUACCCUAUUAUAAAAGUGUAAAUAUUAAAAAAUUAAAUUAUUAAUAGUUAUAGUCUUAAAAGUUAAAAAAUUUGGCGGUAUUUUAAUCUAUUCAGAGGAACCUGUCCUAUAAUUGAUACUCCACGAUUAAAUUAACUUAUUUUAAUAAUUUGUAUAUCGUCGUAGUUGAAUAUUUUAUAAGAAAUUUAAUAUUCUAAAUUUUAGUAUAAAAAAUAAAUCAGAUCAAGGUGCAGUUUAUAAGUAAGAAGAGAUGGGUUACAAUAAAGGUAUUUUUGAAUUAAUUAAUGAUAAUAAUUAUAAAAAUGGAUUUGAUAGUAAUUAGAUUUAUAUAGAUUUAAUGAUUUUAGCUCUAAAAUAUGCACAUAUCGCCCGUCGCUCUCAUUUAAGUUGAGAUAAGUCGUAACAUAGUAAAUGUACUGGAAAGUGUAUUUAGUUAGGA
This 782-nucleotide non-coding RNA is filed under the name Aleocharinae sp. 5 EF-2015. Lineage: Eukaryota; Metazoa; Arthropoda; Insecta; Coleoptera; Staphylinidae. The record is from RNAcentral.